RNAcentral lists this transfer RNA (85 nucleotides) under Felis catus (domestic cat). It matches the Rfam family "tRNA". Rfam says of the family: Transfer RNA (tRNA) molecules are approximately 80 nucleotides in length. The record is from Rfam by way of RNAcentral. Lineage: Eukaryota; Metazoa; Chordata; Mammalia; Carnivora; Felidae.
ACCUGGAUGGCUCAGUUGGUUGAGCUUCUGACUUUGGCUCAGGUCACUAUCUCCCAAUCUGUGGGUUCAAGCCCCACGUCGGGCU